GCAUUCGUAGUUCAGUAGUAGAAUUCUUGCAUUUUAUGCUGGAGACCCAGGUUCCAUUCCCAGUCAAUGCA
Molecule: transfer RNA, 71 nt
Filed under: Loxodonta africana (African savanna elephant)
Lineage: Eukaryota; Metazoa; Chordata; Mammalia; Proboscidea; Elephantidae
Rfam family: tRNA
About the family: Transfer RNA (tRNA) molecules are approximately 80 nucleotides in length. Their secondary structure includes four short double-helical elements and three loops (D, anti-codon, and T loops).
Source: Rfam by way of RNAcentral